UACGUAGGGGGCAAGCGUUGUCCGGAAUCAUUGGGCGUAAAGCGCGUGUAGGCGGUUCAGUAAGUCUGCUGUGAAAGUCCAGGGCUCAACCCUGGGAUGCCGGUGGAUACUGCUGGACUAGAGUGCGGAAGAGGCGAGCGGAAUUCCCGGUGUAGCGGUGAAAUGCGCAGAUAUCGGGAGGAACACCAAUUGCGAAGGCAGCUCGCUGGGACGUUACUGACGCUGAGACGCGAAAGCGUGGGGAGCAAACAGG
This 253-nucleotide ribosomal RNA is filed under the name uncultured bacterium. RNAcentral describes it as "partial 16S ribosomal RNA". It matches the Rfam family "Bacterial small subunit ribosomal RNA", at positions 524 to 776 of the family's 1533-position model. The record is from RNAcentral.